UAGGGAAUCUUCCGCAAUGGACGCAAGUCUGACGGAGCAACGCCGCGUGAGUGAAGAAGGAUUUCGGUUCGUAAAACUCUGUUGUUAGAGAAGAACAGCGCAUAGAGUAACUGUUAUGCGUGUGACGGUAUCUAACCAGAAAGCCACGGCUAACUACGUGCCAGCAGCCGCGGUAAUACGUAGGUGGCAAGCGUUGUCCGGAUUUAUUGGGCGUAAAGCGAGCGCAGGCGGUCAAUUAAGUCUGAUGUGAAAGCCCCCGGCUCAACCGGGGAGGGGCAUUGAAAACUGUUUAACUUGGGUGCAGAAGGGGAGGGUGGAAUUCCAUGUGUAGCGGUGAAAUGCGUAGAUAUAUGGAGAAACACCAGUGGCGAAGGCGACUCGCUGGACUGUAACUGACGCUGAGGCUCGAAAGCGUGGGUAGCAAACAGG
This 429-nucleotide ribosomal RNA is filed under the name Bacteroidota bacterium. Its description in RNAcentral is "Bacteroidetes bacterium partial 16S ribosomal RNA". It matches the Rfam family "Bacterial small subunit ribosomal RNA", at positions 355 to 776 of the family's 1533-position model. The record is from RNAcentral. Lineage: Bacteria; Pseudomonadati; Bacteroidota.